Molecule: ribosomal RNA, 354 nt
Filed under: Euconops bellus
Lineage: Eukaryota; Metazoa; Arthropoda; Insecta; Diptera; Conopidae
Description: partial 12S ribosomal RNA
Source: RNAcentral
UUGGAAUGUAAACGGUUUAUUAGAGUAGUAGUAGUUAUUUUCUUGAAACUUAAAAAAUUUGGCGGUAUUUUAGUCUAAUCAGAGGAAUCUGCCCUGUAAUCGAUAAUCCGCGUUGGACCUUUCUUAGACUUGUAAAGUUUAUAUACCGUCGUUAUGAAAAACUUUUUUAGAAUAACAGUUUUUAAUAAUUAAUAUUAUAAUAUAUAUCAGAUCAAGGUGUAGCUUAUGUUUAAGGAGAGGUGGAUUACAAUAAUUUUAAUUUUAUGGAUUUUUUAUUGAAAGAUAAGGAUGAAAUUGGAUUUGAAAGUAAGUUAUUAAAGAUUGAAUAGCUGAAAUUAGCUCUAAAGUAUGUAC